GUGCAUCACCACUGCCCAGCUAAAAUUAUUGGAACACUGCAAAGAAGUUUAGCAUUGUUACUGUGCAAGGAUGACGUGCAAAUUUGUGAAAGUCACCAGUCUAUU
This is a small nuclear RNA of Phodopus roborovskii (desert hamster), 105 nucleotides long. The record is from RefSeq and is a predicted model, not a curated record. Lineage: Eukaryota; Metazoa; Chordata; Mammalia; Rodentia; Cricetidae.